GUAUUUUAUUGAACUCACAACACACAUACUAAAACUGAAAGAUACAGACAGGAUUAACAUAAACACUGUUCAAGGAGGGCAUAUAUAUUUGUGAAGUGUUCUAUGUUUUU
Molecule: small nuclear RNA, 110 nt
Organism: Cavia porcellus (domestic guinea pig)
Lineage: Eukaryota; Metazoa; Chordata; Mammalia; Rodentia; Caviidae
Source: Rfam